Molecule: non-coding RNA, 179 nt
Filed under: Ricinus communis (castor bean)
Lineage: Eukaryota; Viridiplantae; Streptophyta; Magnoliopsida; Malpighiales; Euphorbiaceae
Description: Eukaryotic large subunit ribosomal RNA
Rfam family: Eukaryotic large subunit ribosomal RNA
Source: Rfam by way of RNAcentral
UGUCGUGCUAAGCCCUCGCGGCGGACGAGCCGCGCGGGCCGCCUUGAAUUACAAUUUCCACCGGGCGGCGGACUGAAUCCUUUGCAGACGACUUAAAUACGCGACGGGGUAUUGUAAGUGGCAGAGUGGCCUUGCUGCCACGAUCCACUGAGAUUCAGCCCUUCGUCGCUCCGAUUCGU